GUCUUCUUGAUUUUGUUAGAGGUUGGACCUGCCCGGUGUUAUAUUAACGGCCGCGGUAUUUUGACCGUGCAAAGGUAGCAUAAUCAUUAGUCUUUUAAUAGGAGGCUGGAAUGAAGGGUUUGACGAGGUAAUAACUGUCUCAUUUAAAUAAGGUUAAAAUUUAAUUUUUGAGUUAAAAAGCUUAAAUAUUAUUGGAAGACGAGAAGACCCUAUAGAGCUUUACAUCUAUACUUGUGAUUCUAAUUAGUUAUAUAAAUAUGGGUUACUAGUUGUAAGUGUUUUGUUGGGGUGACAUGAAAUAUUUAAUUAACUUUUAUAUUAGUUUUACAUUAAUUUGUGGGUUUUAGAUCCAUUACUAUUGAUCAUUAGAAUAAGUUACCUUAGGGAUAACAGCGUAAUCCUCUUUUGAAGUUCAAAUUUACAAGGGGGCUUGCGACCUCGAUGUUGGAUUAAGAUAAUAAUUAGGUGUAGCAGCUUAAUUUAUGGGUCUGUUCGACCUUUAAAUUCUUACAUGAUCKGAKUUCAAACCGG
This 531-nucleotide ribosomal RNA is filed under the name Metagrion montivagans. RNAcentral describes it as "partial 16S ribosomal RNA". It matches the Rfam family "Bacterial large subunit ribosomal RNA", at positions 1830 to 2619 of the family's 2925-position model. Lineage: Eukaryota; Metazoa; Arthropoda; Insecta; Odonata; Argiolestidae. The record is from RNAcentral.